GAUGAACGCUGGCGGCGUGCCUAAUACAUGCAAGUCGAGCGAACGGACGAGAAGCUUGCUUCUCUGAUGUUAGCGGCGGUCGGGUGAGUAACACGUGGAUAACCUACCUAUAAGACUGGGAUAACUUCGGGAAACCGGAGCUAAUACCGGAUAAUAUUUUGAACCGCAUGGUUCAAAAGUGAAAGACGGUCUUGCUGUCACUUAUAGAUGGAUCCGCGCUGCAUUAGCUAGUUGGUAAGGUAACGGCUUACCAAGGCAACGAUGCAUAGCCGACCUGAGAGGGUGAUCGGCCACACUGGAACUGAGACACGGUCCAGACUCCUACGGGAGGCAGCAGUAGGGAAUCUUCCGCAAUGGGCGAAAGUCUGACGGAGCAACGCCGCGUGAGUGAUGAAGGUCUUCGGAUCGUAAAACUCUGUUAUUAGGGAAGAACAUAUGUGUAAGUAACUGUGCACAUCUUGACGGUACCUAAUCAGAAAGCCACGGCUAACUACGUG
RNAcentral lists this ribosomal RNA (497 nucleotides) under uncultured bacterium. Its description in RNAcentral is "partial 16S ribosomal RNA". It matches the Rfam family "Bacterial small subunit ribosomal RNA", at positions 28 to 507 of the family's 1533-position model. The record is from RNAcentral.